GUGCACAUUUCAAAUCAGUUUUAAACCUGCUCUUAUUGGUUUAAUUUCUGUCUGAAAUCAUUUUACCGUAUCUGGGACUCUUUACAGACAUUUGUUCCACCUAAGCCGAGAGCACACCCUUUCCCAUCCGUGCUGUCUGGCAGGCAGCUAAGUGCUAUAGACGAGACAGCACUUACAGUAGAAAAAGCAUUCCUCUUUGGGAGAUCAUAAUUUCCGACGCGUUCGGGACAACCGGGAACUCUGAAUUUUCCAACUCGGAACCUCC
This is a long non-coding RNA of Ictalurus punctatus (channel catfish), 265 nucleotides long. NCBI's taxonomy places the organism in Eukaryota, Metazoa, Chordata, Actinopteri, Siluriformes, Ictaluridae. The record is from Ensembl.